CCUACGGGUGGCAGCAGUGAGGAAUAUUGGUCAAUGGACGAGAGUCUGAACCAGCCAAGUAGCGUGAAGGAUGACUGCCCUAUGGGUUGUAAACUUCUUUUAUAUGGGAAUAAAAUGUUCCACGUGUGGGAUUUUGUAUGUACCAUAUGAAUAAGGAUCGGCUAACUCCGUGCCAGCAGCCGCGGUAAUACGGAGGAUCCGAGCGUUAUCCGGAUUUAUUGGGUUUAAAGGGAGCGUAGGUGGAUUGUUAAGUCAGUUGUGAAAGUUUGCGGCUCAACCGUAAAAUUGCAGUUGAAACUGGCAGUCUUGAGUACAGUAGAGGUGGGCGGAAUUCGUGGUGUAGCGGUGAAAUGCUUAGAUAUCACGAAGAACUCCGAUUGCGAAGGCAGUUCACUGGACUGCAACUGACACUGAGGCUCGAAAGUGUGGGUAUCAAACAGGAUUAGAUACUCUAGUAGUC
RNAcentral lists this ribosomal RNA (460 nucleotides) under uncultured bacterium. Its description in RNAcentral is "partial 16S ribosomal RNA". It matches the Rfam family "Bacterial small subunit ribosomal RNA", at positions 338 to 795 of the family's 1533-position model. The record is from RNAcentral.